RNAcentral lists this ribosomal RNA (971 nucleotides) under Lithophyllum kotschyanum. Its description in RNAcentral is "eukaryotic LSU rRNA". It matches the Rfam family "Eukaryotic large subunit ribosomal RNA", at positions 1029 to 2011 of the family's 3401-position model. The record is from RNAcentral. Lineage: Eukaryota; Rhodophyta; Florideophyceae; Corallinales; Lithophyllaceae.
UUUGGGGGUGAAAUACCUUCGGACGAUUCUCAAACUUUAAAUACGCAAGAAAGGGAUGGUUGCUUCGGUGAAUCUCUAUCUCGAAAACGUCGGCCCUGUGGGCCACUUUUGGUAAGCAGAACUGGCGAUAUGGGAUGAACCAUAAGUUGGGUUAAGGCGUCUAAAUCUUCGCUUAAAGAUCCCACAAAAGGUGUUGGUUCAUAUAGACAGCAGGACGGUGGCCAUGGAAGUCGGAAUCCGCUAAGGAGUGUGUAACAACUCACCUGCCGAAUGAACUAGCCCUGAAAAUGGAUGACGCUUAAGCGGAGUGCCGACACCCGACCGUUUCGGUAAAACAGCAAGCACACGACCGAAAUGAGUAGGAGGGCGUGGCGAUUUUGUUUCGAAGGGUACGACGCGAGUCUACCUGGAACGGUCGCUAGUGCAGAUCUUGGUGGUAGUAGCAAAUAUUUAAGCGAGAUCCUUAAAGGGCGAAGCGGGGAAGGGUUCCACGCGAACAUUGAUUGGGCGUGGGUGAGUCGUUCCUAAGCCGGGUGGUAAUCGUUCUGUCGAUCGGCGAAAGGGAAGUUGGUUAAAAUUCCAACACACGGAUGUGGAGGCGGCAACGCAAAUUGAGGUGGAGACGUUAGCGGUGACACUGGGCAGAGUUUUCUUUUCUGUUUAACCCGUUGCGCACUCUGUGGAAUUCGAUUAUCGAGAGAAACAGGUGCGCGCUUUGGGAAGAGCGUCGGGGCGUCCCCGGCGUCCAGUACGUCACCGAGAACCCUUGAAAAUCCAUCUGCAAUGUAAUUUCACGCCGUGGCGUACCGAUAACCGCAGCAGGUCCCCAAGGUGAACAGCCUCUGCUCAAUAUGAACAAUGCAGGUAAGGGAAGUCGGCAAAAUAGACCCGUAACUUUGGGAAAAGGGUUGGCUCUAGUGGAGCGAAGGCUUUUUUGGGCAUCGUCGGAUUGGUGGAUUGUCGGUUUGGAG